RNAcentral lists this ribosomal RNA (425 nucleotides) under uncultured bacterium. RNAcentral describes it as "partial 16S ribosomal RNA". It matches the Rfam family "Bacterial small subunit ribosomal RNA", at positions 354 to 796 of the family's 1533-position model. The record is from RNAcentral.
GUGGGGAAUCUUGCGCAAUGGGCGAAAGCCUGACGCAGCCAUGCCGCGUGAAUGAUGAAGGUCUUAGGAUUGUAAAAUUCUUUCACCGGGGACGAUAAUGACGGUACCCGGAGAAGAAGCUCCGGCUAACUUCGUGCCAGCAGCCGCGGUAAUACGAAGGGGGCUAGCGUUGCUCGGAAUUACUGGGCGUAAAGGGCGCGUAGGCGGACAGCUUAGUCAGAGGUGAAAGCCCAGGGCUCAACCUUGGAAUUGCCUUUGAUACUGGCUGUCUUGAGUUUGGGAGAGGUGAGUGGAACUCCGAGUGUAGAGGUGAAAUUCGUAGAUAUUCGGAAGAACACCAGUGGCGAAGGCGACUCACUGGACCAAUACUGACGCUGAGGCGCGAAAGCGUGGGGAGCAAACAGGAUUAGAUACCCCAGUAGUCC